Molecule: ribosomal RNA, 254 nt
Filed under: uncultured bacterium
Lineage: Bacteria
Description: partial 16S ribosomal RNA
Rfam family: Bacterial small subunit ribosomal RNA
Source: RNAcentral
UACGAAGGGGGCUAGCGUUGUUCGGAAUUACUGGGCGUAAAGCGCGUGUAGGCGGUUGUUCAAGUCGGGUGUGAAAGCCUUGAGCUCAACUCAAGAAAUGCACUCGGUACUGGAUGACUAGAGGACCGGAGAGGAUAGUGGAAUUCCCAGUGUAGUGGUGAAAUACGUAGAGAUUGGGAAGAACACCAGUGGCGAAGGCGGCUAUCUGGACGGUUUCUGACGCUUAAGACGCGAAAGCGUGGGGAGCAAACAGG